Molecule: ribosomal RNA, 533 nt
Filed under: uncultured bacterium
Lineage: Bacteria
Description: bacterial SSU rRNA
Rfam family: Bacterial small subunit ribosomal RNA
Source: RNAcentral
AGCCAUACCGCGUGUGUGAAGAAGGCCUUCGGGCUGUAAAGCACUUUAAGUAAGGAAGAAAAGUAUGUUGCUAAUACCAAUAUACCGUGACAUUACUUACAGAAUAAGGACCGGCUAAUUCCGUGCCAGCAGCCGCGGUAAUACGGAAGGUCCAAGCGUUAAUCGGAAUUACUGGGCGUAAAGCGCGCGUAGGUGGUUUAUUAAGUUGGGUGUGAAAGCCCCGGGCUCAACCUGGGAACUGCAUCCAAAACUGAUUCACUAGAGUACGAAAGAGGGAGGUAGAAUUCACAGUGUAGCGGUGGAAUGCGUAGAUAUUGUGAAGAAUACCAAUGGCGAAGGCAGCCUCCUGGUUCUGUACUGACACUGAGGUGCGAAAGCGUGGGUAGCGAACAGGAUUAGAUACCCUGGUAGUCCACGCCGUAAACGAUGACAACCAGCUGUUGGAAAGCAAUGCUUUUCAGUGGCGCAGCUAACGUCUUAAGUUGUCCGCCUGGGGAGUACGGCCGCAAGGUUAAAACUCAAAUGAAUUGACG